CUAAAAUAAAAUAAUAUUAAAACAUUUAAAGUUUUAACAAUUAAUAUCCAAAGCUUUUAACUUAAUUGCUUGGGGGGCUAAAAGCCUAUGUAAAACUUACUAAAAGCAAAGAUUACAACCCUAAAUAACAAGAAAAAAAAUACAGACAUCCACAAGUAAAAAAUAAUUAAUUUAUGUAUAAAUUCAUCCUUAUUAUAUCAUCUUAUCUCGCUAUUGACCCGCCGGCUGCUCAAUCAAAAUUACCCAGCAUCAGCCAUCACUUCAGUAACCUAAUAGCUUACUUAAAACUUAAUAUUGCAUAAACCAAACUGUUUAGAGCACUUCAUUCAAUUCUCAUUCCUACUAAACCAGGGAAGAAAUUGGUGUAACCUGAUUUUCAUGAGAUUGUGAAUGAGGCAAUCCGCUAUGAUGACUUUCUUUUCUUUCGUGAUUUCGGCUUUUUCUUUUUCAUAGAUUUCUUCUUUUCAGGACUUUCUUCAUUUAUCAAGUGCUCAUAAUCUUC
This 502-nucleotide unclassified non-coding RNA is filed under the name Hevea brasiliensis (rubber tree). Lineage: Eukaryota; Viridiplantae; Streptophyta; Magnoliopsida; Malpighiales; Euphorbiaceae. The record is from RNAcentral.